Molecule: ribosomal RNA, 497 nt
Filed under: uncultured bacterium
Lineage: Bacteria
Description: partial 16S ribosomal RNA
Rfam family: Bacterial small subunit ribosomal RNA
Source: RNAcentral
GAUGAACGCCGGCGGCGUGCCUAAUACAUGCAAGUCGAGCGAACAGACGAGGAGCUUGCUCCUCUGACGUUAGCGGCGGACGGGUGAGUAACACGUGGAUAACCUACCUAUAAGACUGGGAUAACUUCGGGAAACCGGAGCUAAUACCGGAUAAUAUAUUGAACCGCAUGGUUCAAUAGUGAAAGACGGUUUUGCUGUCACUUAUAGAUGGAUCCGCGCCGCAUUAGCUAGUUGGUAAGGUAACGGCUUACCAAGGCAACGAUGCGUAGCCGACCUGAGAGGGUGAUCGACCACACUGGAACUGAGACACGGUCCAGACUCCUACGGGAGGCAGCAGUAGGGAAUCUUCCGCAAUGGGCGAAAGCCUGACGGAGCAACGCCGCGUGAGUGAUGAAGGUCUUCGGAUCGUAAAACUCUGUUAUUAGGGAAGAACAAAUGUGUAAGUAACUAUGCACGUCUUGACGGUACCUAAUCAGAAAGCCACGGCUAACUACGUG